RNAcentral lists this transfer-messenger RNA (231 nucleotides) under Ignavibacteria bacterium. Its description in RNAcentral is "partial transfer-messenger RNA". It matches the Rfam family "transfer-messenger RNA", at positions 1 to 244 of the family's 374-position model. Rfam says of the family: Bacterial tmRNA, also known as 10Sa RNA or SsrA, is named for its dual tRNA and mRNA-like properties. Its role is to liberate the mRNA from a stalled ribosome. To accomplish this part of the tmRNA is used as a reading frame that ends in a translation stop signal. Lineage: Bacteria; Pseudomonadati; Ignavibacteriota; Ignavibacteria. The record is from RNAcentral.
GGGGGUGACAUUGGCUUCGACGGGGCUAUAUGUUCUUUGAACUGCGCACCGUGUUCUCCGUAGACACGUUAAACGACGGUAAACAUAUUAAAUGGCGAAUAUAAUUACGCUUUAGCUGCGUAACCAAAACUUAUGCAGCCGUUCUUUAAGUCUCAGCAUACCGGGAUUUAUAUGAACGCCGUUUAGGUGUGCUAGCCAAACCGAAUACUCGAAUAGGUGAGGCAAAACUUU